UACGUAGGGUGCGAGCGUUAAUCGGAAUUACUGGGCGUAAAGCGUGCGCAGGCGGUUUGGUUAGACAGAUGUGAAAUCCCCGGGCUUAACCUGGGAACUGCCUUUGUGACUGCCCGGCUAGAGUGUGUCAGAGGGGGGUAGAAUUCCACGUGUAGCAGUGAAAUGCGUAGAUAUGUGGAGGAAUACCGAUGGCGAAGGCAGCCCCCUGGGAUAACACUGACGCUCAUGCACGAAAGCGUGGGGAGCAAACAGG
Molecule: ribosomal RNA, 253 nt
Filed under: uncultured bacterium
Lineage: Bacteria
Description: partial 16S ribosomal RNA
Rfam family: Bacterial small subunit ribosomal RNA
Source: RNAcentral